RNAcentral lists this ribosomal RNA (353 nucleotides) under uncultured bacterium. RNAcentral's name for it is "bacterial SSU rRNA". It matches the Rfam family "Bacterial small subunit ribosomal RNA", at positions 28 to 365 of the family's 1533-position model. The record is from RNAcentral.
GACGAACGCUGGCGGCGUGCUUAACACAUGCAAGUCGAACGGGGCGAAGUGAUAGCUUGCUAUUAUGGAGCCUAGUGGCAAACGGGUGAGUAACGCGUAGGCAAUCUGCCCUUCAGAUGGGGACAACACCUCGAAAGGGGUGCUAAUACCGAAUGACGUUUCCUAGUCGCAUGACCUGGAAACCAAAGGCCGGGCAACCGGUCACUGAAGGAUGGGCCUGCGUCUGAUUAGCUAGUUGGUGGGGUUAACGGCCCUACCAAGGCGACGAUCAGUAGCCGGUCUGAGAGGAUGAACGGCCACAUUGGGACUGAGAUACGGCCCAGACUCCUACGGGAGCAGCAGUGGGGAAUAUU